Molecule: ribosomal RNA, 500 nt
Filed under: Pseudomonas sp. TW79A
Lineage: Bacteria; Pseudomonadati; Pseudomonadota; Gammaproteobacteria; Pseudomonadales; Pseudomonadaceae
Description: bacterial SSU rRNA
Rfam family: Bacterial small subunit ribosomal RNA
Source: RNAcentral
GAUUGCGGUGGCUACACAUGCAGUCGAACGGCAGCACAGGAGAGCUUGCUCUCUGGGUGGCGAGUGGCGGACGGGUGAGGAAUACAUCGGAAUCUACUCUGUCGUGGGGGAUAACGUAGGGAAACUUACGCUAAUACCGCAUACGACCUACGGGUGAAAGCAGGGGACCUUCGGGCCUUGCGCGAUUGAAUGAGCCGAUGUCGGAUUAGCUAGUUGGCGGGGUAAAGGCCCACCAAGGCGACGAUCCGUAGCUGGUCUGAGAGGAUGAUCAGCCACACUGGAACUGAGACACGGUCCAGACUCCUACGGGAGGCAGCAGUGGGGAAUAUUGGACAAUGGGCGCAAGCCUGAUCCAGCCAUACCGCGUGGGUGAAGAAGGCCUUCGGGUUGUAAAGCCCUUUUGUUGGGAAAGAAAUCCAGCUGGCUAAUACCCGGUUGGGAUGACGGUACCCAAAGAAUAAGCACCGGCUAACUUCGUGCCAGCACGCGCGGGUAAUAAA